UUUAACUGAAGAGUUUGAUCAUGGCUCAGAUUGAACGCUGGCGGCAGGCUUAACACAUGCAAGUCGAGCGGGGGAAGGUAGCUUGCUACUGGACCUAGCGGCGGACGGGUGAGUAAUGCUUAGGAAUCUGCCUAUUAGUGGGGGACAACAUCUCGAAAGGGAUGCUAAUACCGCAUACGUCCUACGGGAGAAAGCAGGGGAUCUUCGGACCUUGCGCUAAUAGAUGAGCCUAAGUCGGAUUAGCUAGUUGGUGGGGUAAAGGCCUACCAAGGCGACGAUCUGUAGCGGGUCUGAGAGGAUGAUCCGCCACACUGGGACUGAGACACGGCCCAGACUCCUACGGAGGCAGCAGUGGGGAAUAUUGGACAAUGGGGGGAACCCUGAUCCAGCCAUGCCGCGUGUGUGAAGAAGGCCUUAUGGUUGUAAAGCACUUUAAGCGAGGAGGAGGCUACUUUAGUUAAUACCUAGAGAUAGUGGACGUUACUCGCAGAAUAAGCACCGGCUAACUCUGUGCCAGCAGCCGCGGUAAUACAGAGGGUGCGAGCGUUAAUCGGAUUUACUGGGCGUAAAGCGUGCGUAGGCGGCUUAUUAAGUCGGAUGUGAAAUCCCCGAGCUUAACUUGGGAAUUGCAUUCGAUACUGGUGAGCUAGAGUAUGGGAGAGGAUGGUAGAAUUCCAGGUGUAGCGGUGAAAUGCGUAGAGAUCUGGAGGAAUACCGAUGGCGAAGGCAGCCAUCUGGCCUAAUACUGACGCUGAGGUACGAAAGCAUGGGGAGCAAACAGGAUUAGAUACCCUGGUAGUCCAUGCCGUAAACGAUGUCUACUAGCCGUUGGGGCCUUUGAGGCUUUAGUGGCGCAGCUAACGCGAUAAGUAGACCGCCUGGGGAGUACGGUCGCAAGACUAAAACUCAAAUGAAUUGACGGGGGCCCGCACAAGCGGUGGAGCAUGUGGUUUAAUUCGAUGCAACGCGAAGAACCUUACCUGGCCUUGACAUACUAGAAACUUUCCAGAGAUGGAUUGGUGCCUUCGGGAAUCUAGAUACAGGUGCUGCAUGGCUGUCGUCAGCUCGUGUCGUGAGAUGUUGGGUUAAGUCCCGCAACGAGCGCAACCCUUUUCCUUACUUGCCAGCAUUUCGGAUGGGAACUUUAAGGAUACUGCCAGUGACAAACUGGAGGAAGGCGGGGACGACGUCAAGUCAUCAUGGCCCUUACGGCCAGGGCUACACACGUGCUACAAUGGUCGGUACAAAGGGUUGCUACACAGCGAUGUGAUGCUAAUCUCAAAAAGCCGAUCGUAGUCCGGAUUGGAGUCUGCAACUCGACUCCAUGAAGUCGGAAUCGCUAGUAAUCGCGGAUCAGAAUGCCGCGGUGAAUACGUUCCCGGGCCUUGUACACACCGCCCGUCACACCAUGGGAGUUUGUUGCACCAGAAGUAGCUAGCCUAACUGCAAAGAGGGCGGUUACCACGGUGUGGCCGAUGACUGGGGUGAAGUCGUAACAAGGUAGCCGUAGGGGAACCUGCGGCUGGAUCACCUCCUUAA
Molecule: ribosomal RNA, 1539 nt
Filed under: Acinetobacter baumannii
Lineage: Bacteria; Pseudomonadati; Pseudomonadota; Gammaproteobacteria; Moraxellales; Moraxellaceae
Description: bacterial SSU rRNA
Rfam family: Bacterial small subunit ribosomal RNA
Source: RNAcentral